UACGAAGGGGACUAGCGUUGUUCGGAAUUACUGGGCGUAAAGCGCGCGUAGGCGGAUCGCUAAGUCAGGGGUGAAACCCCAGGGCUCAACCCUGGAACUGCCUUUGAUACUGACGAUCUGGAGAUCGGGAGAGGUUGGUGGAAUUCCGAGUGUAGAGGUGAAAUUCGUAGAUAUUCGGAGGAACACCAGAAGCGAAGGCGGCCAACUGGCCCGAUACUGACGCUGAGGCGCGAAAGCGUGGGGAGCAAACAGG
Molecule: ribosomal RNA, 253 nt
Filed under: uncultured bacterium
Lineage: Bacteria
Description: partial 16S ribosomal RNA
Rfam family: Bacterial small subunit ribosomal RNA
Source: RNAcentral